CUUCAUAUGGCCGACCAAAGGAAGAACAAAGGAAGCAAAGAAAGAACAAGAACCCUAGGGUGAAAAUUCAAGAGAAAAUUGGUGGAUUUCAAGUAAUCAAGCAAUCAAAGGUAAAAUUUAUUGAUUUUGACUUGUGAUCUACCUUUCCCAUGCAGUAUUUUGCAUUUUCCAUGGUUGAAUCACAAGAUAUCAUGAAGGAUUCAUGGCUGACCGAAUUUAGAGAGAGAAGAUUUGAUGAUUUAUUUGGUUAGAUUUUGAGAUAUUUUAGUGUUUUUAGUUGAUUUAUCAUGUUUGGAAGGAAAACAAGUAAGAAAAAUCACAUGUUCUUCAUGGAUUCUUCAUUGGCCGAAUUUCAUAAAGACAAUAUUGAAGAUGAAUCUUGUGAUGUCUUAUGUUAUUUAGUUAGAAUUUAAUGAAUUGUGGUGGUGGAAACCGAAAAUGGUAAUGUUUAGCAUGAAAAAAUCGUAUACCCUUCAAGAACCUCCAUUGGCCGAAUCUUUCCUAUGGUGUGUUGAUGGUGGAUUUGAUUUUAUUUAAAGUGAAUUGGUUAGGAAAUGAUGAAUUAUGGUGAGAAAAUCAAGUAGGAAAAAUCAUAGUGUUGAUGCACCCACCAUAGCCGAAUUUUUCAAGAGAAAAUGUGAGGAUGAUUUUACCAUAUUUCAAGUUAUUUAAUUUGUGUUUGAUGAUUUGGAGUAUUGGGAGAAAAAUGGAAUUAUUUGGAGUUGAAUUCGACGUAUUGGCCAAUUAAUUAGGUGAUAGAUCGAAUUAGGCCAAUACUGUUUUAUUUAGGUACAUAAUUGAAUUUGUGUAGGACACCGUGUUCAGACGAUAAUCCAAACAAUUUGCAUUCCAUUUCAUGCAUUAGUCAAGAGCCUGAAAUAGAUUUAUAAUGAUAUGACACAGUAUAUUGAAUUAUGUGUCGUGUAUUGUAUAUAGGUGGUGAGCCCUCUAACAAGGGUAAAGACAUUGUGUUAGAGGAUUGAGAAUAGGAGUAUUUCAAACUCCUGAUAUAGUGAGUAACCUUACUAUCGUCUUAAUUAUCUAAAAUGGUUUUUAUCCGAUUUUGUGAUUUUAUGGAAAAUGAGUUUAAAUGGUAAAUCUUUAUGUGUUAUAAAUAAAAUGUGUUUAAAUGAAAUGAUUUUAUAAAUUGUCUUGACAUUGAAUGACGGUUUUGAAAAUAAAGUAAUUGGAGACCAUUUUAUGUAUUGGGAAUUUAUGGUUCUAAUUGAUUGGCUUAUGACAAUAUUGGCAUGAAUGGCUGAAUUGGUAUUUGUGUUGAAAAUGUAUAAACUGUUGUUUGCCUUGAUAGGCUAGAUAAUGAUAAAAUUGCCAUGUCAUGCUAUUGAAUUUUAUUGAAUUGGUGGGUUAUUGAUAAGUCGCUGUAGUGGACGGGUUCUGUGGACUAGCCUAUUAGAGGGGGCACGAUAACCCUAUUAUAUUCUUACCUCAGUAUGAGAGGCGCAGAUGGAUAACUCCUGAGGUUAACACUUUAGAGUUCACUUCACGCCAAACCACCACGUGAGGGUGAAAUCAGCCAACGCCAAGGAACGGCUAUGUUUUCAAAAAUAAAAACAUGAUUUUAUGCGUACAUAACUUUUUAACAACCUUGGCGGACUCGGUUGGGAUAGCCCUCGGCCAAGGUAUCCCUGAUAACUGAGUAUGAGAAUGAUUUUGGCACAAGCCAAAGUUUUAAGAAAUUCAUAAGCCAUGUUGACUACACGAUUUAUAUAAAUUGAUUUUAUUUAGUUGAAAUGAGUUGCAAGGUGAUGAAUUACAGUUUGAUAAACUAUUUUAUCUGUCUCCAUUUACUCAGCUUUAGAUAUUUUAGAUGGUAUUUGUUUACUCAUUGGGAUUAUAUAAUCUCACCACCCUUCUUUCCACCCGUUUUAGGCUCAGGAUAGUCAGUAGAUAACUCACUUUGUUGAGGGCUACAGUUGGACUUGCAUCCUUAAAAAUUGUAGGUUUACCGUUUUUGAUACUUUUGGUCGUUCGUGGGCCCACGUGUCACUGUCAAUUAAAUUUUAUACUUUGGUUAUCUGUAUUACAGUAUGUAUGAAUUUAUUUAACUUUUACGCUAUAAAAAU
Molecule: long non-coding RNA, 2084 nt
Filed under: Theobroma cacao (cacao)
Lineage: Eukaryota; Viridiplantae; Streptophyta; Magnoliopsida; Malvales; Malvaceae
Description: long non-coding RNA (TCAC_LNC004542)
Source: RNAcentral